RNAcentral lists this ribosomal RNA (455 nucleotides) under Serratia symbiotica. RNAcentral's name for it is "bacterial SSU rRNA". It matches the Rfam family "Bacterial small subunit ribosomal RNA", at positions 12 to 463 of the family's 1533-position model. The record is from RNAcentral. Lineage: Bacteria; Pseudomonadati; Pseudomonadota; Gammaproteobacteria; Enterobacterales; Yersiniaceae.
UUUGAUCAUGGCUCAGAUUGAACGCUGGCGGCAGGCCUAACACAUGCAAGUCGAGCGGUAGCACAAGAGAGCUUGCUCUCUGGGUGACGAGCGGCGGACGGGUGAGUAAUGUCUGGGAAACUGCCUGAUGGCGGGGGAUAACUAGUGGAAACGGUAGCUAAUACCGCAUAACGUCGCAAGACCAAAGUGGGGGACCUUCGGGCCUCACGCCAUCAGAUGUGCCCAGGUGGGAUUAGCUGGUAGGUGGGGUAACGGCUCACCUAGGCGACGAUCCCUAGCUGGUCUGAGAGGAUGACCAGCCACACUGGAACUGAGACACGGUCCAGACUCCUACGGGAGGCAGCAGUGGGGAAUAUUGCACAAUGGGCGCAAGCCUGAUGCAGCCAUGCCGCGUGUGUGAAGAAGGCCUUCGGGUUGUAAAGCACUUUCAGCGAGGAGGAAGGGUAAUGUGUUAA